UAGCCCAUAUGUUAAUUGAGGAACAGCUUCAAGCUGGUCAUGUAGAGCCUAUGGUCAGCCCUUGGAGCACACCCAUCUUUGUAAUUAAGAAAAAAAUCUGGCAAUUGGAGAUUAUUAGAGCUAUUGACCGUGUUAUAGAGCCCAUGGGAGCAUUAUAAUAUGGGCUUCCUUCUCUAACAGGUAACUCUUUAAAUUAUAAUUUGAUAGUAGUAGAUCUAAAAGAUUGUUUUUUUCUCUAUACCUUUGCACCCAGAUGACUGUAAAAAGUUUGCCUUGAG
RNAcentral lists this non-coding RNA (278 nucleotides) under Marmota monax (woodchuck). The record is from RNAcentral. Lineage: Eukaryota; Metazoa; Chordata; Mammalia; Rodentia; Sciuridae.